GACGAACGCUGGCGGCGUGCUUAACACAUGCAAGUCGAGCGAUGAAGUUCCUUCGGGAAUGGAUUAGCGGCGGACGGGUGAGUAACACGUGGGUAACCUGCCUCAUAGAGGGGAAUAGCCUUUCGAAAGGAAGAUUAAUACCGCAUAAGAUUGUAGUUUCGCAUGAAACAGCAAUUAAAGGAGUGAUCCGCUAUGAGAUGGACCUGCGCCGCAUUAGCUAGUUGGUGAGGUAACGGCUCACCAAGGCGACGAUGCGUAGCCGACCUGAGAGGGUGAUCGGCCACACUGGGACUGAGACACGGCCCAGACUCCUACGGGAGGCAGCAGUGGGGAAUAUUGCACAAUGGGGGAAACCCUAAUGCAGCAACGCCGCGUGAGUGAUGACGGUCUUCGGAUUGUAAAGCUCUGUCUUCAGGGACGAUAAUGACGGUACCUGAGGAGGAAGCCACGGCUAACUACGUGCCAGCCGCCGCAGUAA
RNAcentral lists this ribosomal RNA (478 nucleotides) under uncultured bacterium. RNAcentral's name for it is "partial 16S ribosomal RNA". It matches the Rfam family "Bacterial small subunit ribosomal RNA", at positions 28 to 523 of the family's 1533-position model. The record is from RNAcentral.